Molecule: long non-coding RNA, 2261 nt
Organism: Anguilla anguilla (European eel)
Lineage: Eukaryota; Metazoa; Chordata; Actinopteri; Anguilliformes; Anguillidae
Exons: 5
Source: RefSeq, a predicted model, not a curated record
GUGAAUUUGUAAACAGGAAUUUGGAUUCGCGCUCUGUUGGAAAUGUAGAAGAAGCUGUAUGAAGGGAAAAUAUAAAUCAUGCGUUGCGUGGUUCAGGGCUGUGAUAGUUAUACAAAAAGACUAAAAAGACAGCAAAUACAUUUUCCCAAACGAUCCUGAACUUUGCAAACAAUGGCUGCUUGCCAUUCGAUACCCUGGCUACAAUCCCUAUCGAUUUCACAGAGUUACUGCCUUUACGUGUAUGUUGUGAACACUUUCUAAGAAAUGAUUAUCCGGAAUCGGCAAGCUACAAACCACAGCUCAAACCUGGUUCUGUCCCUACCAUCUUCCCAUGGUUCACCGAAGACACCGGGUCCGAUACUACCGACAAUGCGGCUACAGCGAGCUCAUCGUCUGCUGUACCACCGCAGGGCACAGCAGUGAUAUCACAUUUGAGAUAUCUAGACUCCCUACAAGUGAUGAGUCCUGCCCAGAUACGUCAUUUGUUGGUCCACUUUGGAAGAAUGACAAGUGGAUUGUUUAUGAAUCGAAACUUUUGGAGCUUUUAAAAAAAUGCCGAGAAUGUCAGGGGCCUGUUGAAACAAUGGUAAAGAAAAGACAAGGUGGGAUGCUCAAAAUAGAAUGGGUCUGUAUCAACAACAACUCCGGACACUGGACAUCCUGUCCAUCAAUCCGAGGUGUUCCAGAAAUCAACCUCUUCACCUCGCUUUGCUGUCCUGUUCACAAGACAUUCUUCAAACUGGACAGGGGAUUGAUGUCUGUGGAGAUGACAGAAGUGACUCACCAGGCCACAAUGCCAAAUACACCACAUAUAGCAUGAUGGAAGACUCUACUAAGAGAGUGAUCCACUUUGAACUUGUGCAGAUCCUCUGAAGUUCUGAAUGCUUAUUAAUUUGGCUCUUCGGAUAAUGCAGAGUCAUCAGGGAGUAUACAGUAUUCAAGAAAGAUUUUGGAUGUGAAGAUGGGAGUCUUUUCUUCUUGUUGACAACACAUCAGAAGAAGAUUCUACCACCGCGGUCUCUGUUCCUGGAGAGCCAGGGCGUGUGCAGGUUUCCAUUUUCACUCAGCACUUAAGUUCACUCACCUCACCUGGUUUCUUGGGGUCUGAACUGGCUGCUGAUUUUAAGGUUAAAUCAAACCCCAGCAGACACUAUAGCUGUCCAAGACCAGAGUUGCAGAACUCUGUCCUACAGCGUGACAGAUAGUGUCACAGAACAGUGCUUUUUGGUGUAACCAUGUUUAGCCAUAAUAAUGUAACUUAACAUAAUGUAGAAUAUACAGUAUCAUUAUUCACUCAUUAAUUUGGUAAAGUAUUCAAUUAAGAAUAUGGAAAUGUAGACAAUUGAUUUUUUAAAAGAAAAUGUUUGAUUACUUCUCAUUCCAGUCACAUUCCCAAUGGUGGAUAAAUGCUGUUUGAAAAGCACCACCUCAUCAGUAAGUGAAAUAGUUUCUGCAGGAAAGACACAGGCUAAGCUGGAAUGGUGUUGUCUGAAUUGUUUGAAUUUUUUAUUGUUUGCAUUUACUAUCUCGUAAAUAUGUUUUUAAAAUGCAGUUACAAAUUACUUAAUGCCUAAUUAUUAGCAAUGGGAUGCGCUCAUUAGAUUGUCUGACUGGUCAGUGAUUGGUCCCUCCUGACUGAGUCAGUGGCAGCGUUGCUACAUAUGUUUACCCACCGUAUCCUGAGGUUGAAACGAGUCGCCUUGGAAGCUGAGCCCAGGCCUCAUGAAGAGGGAUCACCUGGGAAAACCCUGGGUGUGCAGCACAAAAACAACAUCCCCUCACUGCCUGAUGCAACUCAUGGCAACGAGGCUAAAGUGGAGCCAAGCGAACCAAGUUCCCCUGGGAAGAGGCCCCAUGCUGGCUUUCCUGAGGGGAGAGGGGGUGUUAGUCCUGGACCCUGGGACCCUGUCAUCCUCUCAUGUUGAUGGCAUCCCUUUGUAUGUGCCCCCCCCCCACCACUGCCACAGCAAAACUCCCACUCUGCUGUGGUCCCUCGGAGCCAAUAUUAUAGCUCUGUUACCGCACUGUGUGGACUUCUUUAGCCUAAUAAAUAAUGCCACCAGGUACUGGUACACCACAACCACUGUAGCUAAGCAUCUUGUUAAUCGGAAAUUUUUAAAUAAAUAUUAAGAACUGUAGAUAGGCUACUGUACAGACAAGUACACUAAAUAUUGCAUAAAGUGACACAAAUCUUGCAUGCAAUGUGUUUUUUAUGUGAUUGCCUACCUGAGCUACUUGAAUGUGCAAAUAAAAUUCUUGCA